CCUACGGGCGGCUGCAGUGGGGAAUAUCGCACAAUGGGCGCAAGCCUGAUGCAGCCAUGCCGCGUGUGUGAAGAAGGCCUUCGGGUUGUAAAGCACUUUCAGCGGGGAGGAAGGCGGUGAGGUUAAUAACCUCAUCGAUUGACGUUACCCGCAGAAGAAGCACCGGCUAACUCCGUGCCAGCAGCCGCGGUAAUACGGAGGGUGCAAGCGUUAAUCGGAAUUACUGGGCGUAAAGCGCACGCAGGCGGUCUGUCAAGUCGGAUGUGAAAUCCCCGGGCUCAACCUGGGAACUGCAUUCGAAACUGGCAGGCUAGAGUCUUGUAGAGGGGGGUAGAAUUCCAGGUGUAGCGGUGAAAUGCGUAGAGAUCUGGAGGAAUACCGGUGGCGAAGGCGGCCCCCUGGACAAAGACUGACGCUCAGGUGCGAAAGCGUGGGGAGCAAACAGGAUUAGAUACCCUAGUAGUC
Molecule: ribosomal RNA, 465 nt
Filed under: uncultured Klebsiella sp.
Lineage: Bacteria; Pseudomonadati; Pseudomonadota; Gammaproteobacteria; Enterobacterales; Enterobacteriaceae
Description: bacterial SSU rRNA
Rfam family: Bacterial small subunit ribosomal RNA
Source: RNAcentral